CAGUAGCCGCGGUAACACGAAGGGUGCAAGCGUUAAUCGGAAUUACUGGGCGUAAAGGGUGCGUAGGUGGUGGUUUAAGUCCGUUGUGAAAGCCCUGGGCUCAACCUGGGAAUUGCAGUGGAUACUGGGUCACUAGAGUGUGGUAGAGGAUAGUGGAAUUUCCGGUGUAGCAGUGAAAUGCGUAGAGAUCGGAAGGAACAUCUGUGGCGAAGGCGACUAUCUGGGCCAACACUGACACUGAGGCACGAAAGCGUGGGGAGCAAACAGGAUUAGAUACCCCAGUAGUCCCUGUCUCUUAUAC
This 301-nucleotide ribosomal RNA is filed under the name uncultured bacterium. RNAcentral describes it as "partial 16S ribosomal RNA". It matches the Rfam family "Bacterial small subunit ribosomal RNA", at positions 509 to 807 of the family's 1533-position model. The record is from RNAcentral.